RNAcentral lists this ribosomal RNA (292 nucleotides) under uncultured bacterium. RNAcentral's name for it is "partial 16S ribosomal RNA". RNAcentral also lists the same sequence under 1 other name. The record is from RNAcentral.
GGACUACCAGGGUUUCUAAUCCUGUUUGAUCCCCACGCUUUCGUGCCUCAGUGUCAGUUGUAGUUUUGUAUGCUGCCUUCGCAAUGGGUGUUCUGUGUCAUAUCUAAGCAUUUCACCGCUACACGACACAUUCCACAUACAUCAAAUACACUCAAGAAUGACAGUAUCAAUGGCAGUUCUACAGUUAAGCUGCAGGUUUUCACCACUGACUUGACAUUCCACCUACGCACCCUUUAAACCCAGUAAAUCCGGAUAACGCUCGAAUCCUCCGUAUUACCGCGGCUGCUGGCAC